This 253-nucleotide ribosomal RNA is filed under the name uncultured bacterium. Its description in RNAcentral is "partial 16S ribosomal RNA". It matches the Rfam family "Bacterial small subunit ribosomal RNA", at positions 524 to 776 of the family's 1533-position model. The record is from RNAcentral.
GAAGGGGGAUGCAAGCGUUAUCCGGAAUCACUGGGCGUAAAGCGUCUGUAGGUGGUGAUGCAAGUCACUGGUGCAAAACUCUGGCUCAACCGGAGGAAAGCCAGUGAAACUGCAUGACUAGAGUGUGGGAGAGGUAGAAGGAAUUCCCUGAGUAGCGGUGAAAUGCGUAGAUACAGGGAAGAACACCGGGGGCGAAAGCGUUCUACUGGAACACAACUGACACUGAGAGACGAGAGCUAGGGGAGCGAAUGGG